AUGGAGGCGCUGUCAUCGGAAUCCAAGGCGAUGUACGAUCUACUUCGCGCUAAUAUCACCACCGAUGUCAACACCCCUCUUCACUCAAGUCAGGAGCUCGUCCUCAAGGCCGUCCAGAACAUGCUUGACGAGACAGCGGCACGAAUCAACGACUCGUUGACUUCGAAGAUCGAGGCCGUGCGCGAGGAUCUCGGCGUCGACAUCGCCCAGAUGUGCCUCGCCGACGACAAGGGCUCCCGUGGGGAAUUGCUGCACUCUUCGGGUACCUCGUUCAACCGGACAGGUGGCUCCUCGUCAGAUUCUACAGUGUCGCGUUCGACAGGAAGGCAAACGCACAAUUGCUCAGGGCCUUAUCCAAUGGAAUGA
This 366-nucleotide ribosomal RNA is filed under the name Triticum aestivum (bread wheat). RNAcentral describes it as "partial small subunit ribosomal RNA". Lineage: Eukaryota; Viridiplantae; Streptophyta; Magnoliopsida; Poales; Poaceae. The record is from RNAcentral.